Molecule: ribosomal RNA, 1329 nt
Filed under: metagenome
Description: bacterial LSU rRNA
Rfam family: Bacterial large subunit ribosomal RNA
Source: RNAcentral
CAAGACCGAAGUACAUGAUUCCAUGCUUCCAAGAAAAGCAUCUAGAGAGAGAAGUAGUGCCCGUACCGCAAACCGACACAGGUAGAUGAGGAGAGAAUCCUAAGGCCGGCGGAAGAAUUGCAGUUAAGGAACUAGGCAAAUUGACCCCGUAAGUUCGCGAGAAGGGGUGCCUGCGAGAGCAGGCCGCAGAGAAUAGGCCCAAGCAACUGUUUAGCAAAAACACAGGUCUCUGCUAAAGCGUAAGCUGAUGUAUAGGGGCUGACGCCUGCCCGGUGCUGGAAGGUUAAGGGGAACACUUAGCGCAAGCGAAGGUGUGAACUUAAGCCCCAGUAAACGGCGGCCGUAACAAUAACGGUCCUAAGGUAGCGAAAUUCCUUGUCAGGUAAGUUCUGACCCGCACGAAUGGCGUAAUGACUUGGGCACUGUCUCAACUGCAAAUCCGGCGAAGUUGUAGUGCGAGUGAAGAUGCUCGCUACCCGCGAUUGGACGGAAAGACCCCGUAGAGCUUCACUGUAGCUUAGCAUUGAAUUCCGGUAUUGUCUGUACAGGAUAGGUGGGAGACUGGGAAACUAGGGCGUCAGCCUUAGUGGAGUCAACCUUGGGAUACCACCCUGACAGUACUGGGGUUCUAACAGGACGCCAUGAAACUGGUGACUGGACAUUGUUAGGUGGGCAGUUUGACUGGGGCGGUCGCCUCCUAAAAAGUAACGGAGGCGCCCAAAGGUUCCCUCAGAACGGUCGGAAAUCGUUCGUAGAGUGCAAAGGCAGAAGGGAGCCUGACUGCGAGACCUACAAGUCGAGUAGGGACGAAAGUCGGGCUUAGUGAUCCGGUGGUACCUCGUGGGAGGGCCAUCGCUCAACGGAUAAAAGCUACCUCGGGGAUAACAGGCUGAUCUCCCCCAAGAGUCCACAUCGACGGGGAGGUUUGGCACCUCGAUGUCGGCUCGUCGCAUCCGGGGCUGUAGUAGGUCCCAAGGGUUGGGCUGUUCGCCCAUUAAAGCGGCACGCGAGCUGGGUUCAGAACGUCGUGAGACAGUUCGGUCCCUAUCCGUCGCGGGCGUAGGAAAUUUGAGAGGAGCUGUCCUUAGUACGAGAGGACCGGGAUGGACUGACCUCUGGUGCACCAGUUGUUCUGCCAAGAGCAUGGCUGGGUAGCUAAGUCGGGAAGGGAUAAACGCUGAAAGCAUCUAAGCGUGAAGCCCCCCUCAAGAUGAGAUUUCCCAUAGCAUAAGCUAGUAAGACCCCUUGAAGAACACAAGGUCGAUAGGUCAGAGGUGGAAGUGCGGUAACGUAUGUAGCUGACUGAUACUAAUAGGUCGAGGGCUUGUC